Molecule: ribosomal RNA, 253 nt
Filed under: uncultured bacterium
Lineage: Bacteria
Description: partial 16S ribosomal RNA
Rfam family: Bacterial small subunit ribosomal RNA
Source: RNAcentral
UACGUAGGGUGUGAGCGUUAAUCGGAAUUACUGGGCGUAAAGCGUGCGCAGGCGGUGAUGUAAGACCGAUGUGAAAUCCCCGGGCUUAACCUGGGAACUGCAUUGGUGACUGCAUCGCUCGAGUAUGGCAGAGGGGGGUAGAAUUCCACGUGUAGCAGUGAAAUGCGUAGAGAUGUGGAGGAAUACCGAUGGCGAAGGCAGCCCCCUGGGUCAAUACUGACGCUCAUGCACGAAAGCGUGGGGAGCAAACAGG